GUGUGCAGCGGGAUGUUUAAGGAAAAUAAAGACAUACAGUAGAGAAGAAGAAAGGGAAUGGUUGAGACAGAAGCCCAAAGCAAUGACUCCUCUCUUCUGUCUGUCCACACACAGAGCUCUCCUGCAUGUUUCUAUGACAGCUCUGUGUAAGGACCAAAACACAUACAAAACCAGCUUCACAGACCCUCCAGAUCAGGUUUGGUUGGGUCAUCUGAUAUUUUAAGUCAGGGGUUCAAAACUAUGCCCUGCAAAGGACCCCCAAAUGGCCUGAGCCUCUGACUGAGACCCCCUCUUGAAAAAAGGCCUUGAAUUAUCGUAUUUUGGCCAAUACCAAUAUAUGAAUGUAAAACUUCUUUAUAUCACAUUUUUACUUGCAUGUUCAAAAUUCCAGGAUUUUACAUUUAAAAACAUUUUUUUGCAUUCACAUUAAUAAUGUAAAUUGAUACUUAAUCAGUGUCUUUGGAUACAAAUGAAUGCAUUGAACUGUACCAAUUCAUCUUGACUUCACAUUUAUUAUCAAGUAAAUGCUGCACUGUAUGAAAACCACGACAAAUACAAGAUUUGAUUUGAUUUGAUUAAAGGAUAACACUGUUACACAUUAAGAAUUAUUCUGGGACGUAUGUAAAAAAUGCCAAACAUUGUCAAUAUGAUGUGACACUGACUGCUUUGAUUGAAAACAAAGAUAUCAAAACUUGCUCUUAUACAGAGCCCUAACUUGCAAUGAGGUUACUGAGGUCUGGAUUGAAAGCAAAACUGGUACCAAUGCAUAAAGCACUGAUUUUUAUAUAGAAUGGAGAAAAUGCCUUCAUUUCCACCCAUUAUGAGCUUUGAAGCCAAAAGCCUGCCUUAAUAGGCGCUGACAUAUUGUGCUGGUGCAGCCAAGGCAUGCGCCUGGAAGCGACCUGGCUGGUAGUACUGCCGGACUGACGUCACACCCUUUAAA
Long non-coding RNA from Notolabrus celidotus (New Zealand spotty), 943 nucleotides. RefSeq lists it as uncharacterized. The record is from RefSeq and is a predicted model, not a curated record. NCBI's taxonomy places the organism in Eukaryota, Metazoa, Chordata, Actinopteri, Labriformes, Labridae. The transcript has 3 exons.